RNAcentral lists this ribosomal RNA (164 nucleotides) under uncultured bacterium. RNAcentral's name for it is "partial 16S rRNA". It matches the Rfam family "Bacterial small subunit ribosomal RNA", at positions 355 to 511 of the family's 1533-position model. The record is from RNAcentral.
UAGGGAAUCUUCCACAAUGGACGCAAGUCUGAUGGAGCAACGCCGCGUGAGUGAAGAAGGUCUUCGGAUCGUAAAACUCUGUUGUUAGAGAAGAACACGAGUGAGAGUAACUGUUCAUUCGAUGACGGUGUCUAACCAGCAAGUCACGGCUAACUACGUGCCAG